GCACCGCAAGACCAGCAGUUGCAAUCUUUAAAACUUUCAUUUGCCUUGGCCUGAGUACGCCUGAAAGUUUUUCUCGCCGGGAUUCUCUUUUGAUUUGAGAAUCGGUUUCUUGAUGGUCCGCUCCGUUGGCCUGACUUGUAGGAGCGUGCCUUCUGUCUGGUCCACAUAGUUCUUGGCUUCCAAGAACUUCUUCUGGACUUUC
Molecule: long non-coding RNA, 202 nt
Filed under: Salvia miltiorrhiza (redroot sage)
Lineage: Eukaryota; Viridiplantae; Streptophyta; Magnoliopsida; Lamiales; Lamiaceae
Description: long non-coding RNA (SMIL_LNC008908)
Source: RNAcentral